Molecule: long non-coding RNA, 405 nt
Organism: Polistes dominula (European paper wasp)
Lineage: Eukaryota; Metazoa; Arthropoda; Insecta; Hymenoptera; Vespidae
Source: RefSeq, a predicted model, not a curated record
UGUUCCGUUUAUAUAUUCCUUCUUGUUCAUAUUGAUCCUGAUUCUUGACAAGAAAGGUUGAAUAAAUCCACGGCAAUCGACAAUUAAACAAUUUCGUCAAUUUUUCUAAUUUAAGAACAUGAGAGCAAAGUGGCGUAAGAAGCGUAUGCGCAGGCUAAAGCGUAAAAGGAGGAAGAUGCGUGCGAGGUCCAAGUAAACUGUCUUUUUUUUUUAUCUCUCUGUAGGAACGGCAUAGUAAACUCACCGAGAUGUCAUAAUUUCUAGAUAAAUUUAUCAGAAGUCCAACAUGCUCUAUGAUCUUGUAACAACCAUUCCACCAAUGUACCGUUCACACAGAGAGAUAAUUUUAUAAGCCUUUAUUUUGAUCAUCUUAAAUAAAAUGGAAACUCGACGUACACAAAUUUA